GACGAACGCUGGCGGCGUGGAUUAGGCAUGCAAGUCGAACGGUAUCAUCCUUUCGGGGGUGAGAGAGUGGCGAACUGGUGAGUAACACGUAGGUUAUCUACCCUCAAGACGGGGACAACCCAGGGAAACUUGGGCUAAUACCGGAUGUGAGCAACUUUUAGUUGUUUGAAAGGUGGCGUAAGCUGUCGCUUGGGGAUGAGCCUGCGUCCUAUUAGUUAGUUGGUGAGGUAACGGCUCACCUAGGCAAUGAUAGGUAGGCGGCCUUAACGGGUGGUCGCCCACACUGGGAUUGAGAUACGGCCCAGACUCCUACGGGAGGCAGCAGUCGAGAAUAGUCUACAAUGGUCGGAAGACUGAUAGUGCGACGCCGCGUGAACGAUGAAUCCCUUCGGGGUGUAAAAGUUCUUUUAUAUGUGAGCAGUGCUUCUUAUAUUAACAGUAUGGGGAGAGAGAUAUUAGCAUAUGAAUAAGCAAACGGCUAAACUCCGUGCCAGCAGCCGCGGUAAAAA
This 509-nucleotide ribosomal RNA is filed under the name uncultured bacterium. RNAcentral's name for it is "bacterial SSU rRNA". It matches the Rfam family "Bacterial small subunit ribosomal RNA", at positions 28 to 526 of the family's 1533-position model. The record is from RNAcentral.